GGGACAAAGGGUCUGUUCAGCCAAAGUUUAAAUAAUCUUUUGGGUAUGAGGGCUGUCUUAGAGAUGUUGCCAAAAUAUUGAAAUAUCGGAAGUCCCAUGCAGCUUUCUGUUGUACACACACACACACACACACACACACACAAUUAUGGCAGAAACAUUCUACAAACACACACACAGUCAGAGAGCCAUGGUUCUCUCCAGAGAAAGACUCAGGAGUUUGGGGCAGGAAAUAAGUUUUUCUAUUUAAAAUAUACUCCUGAAAGUACUUGAAAACUUUUCUUUUUUUUUUGGCCAUGCCUGUGGCACAUGGAAGUUCUCAGGCCAGGGAUCAAACUUGCACCAUAGCUGUAACCACAGGAACAGCAAUAGCAAUGCUGGAUCCUUCACCCACUGAGCCAUUAAUCUUGUUAAAAUCGACUUGUCUGAGACGUUGCUUCAACAAAACCAUUGCUUGGCUUAGUGUGAGUGACUCCACUCACUUUUUGGUUCCAUCAGUGUGGGGAGCACACCCCAGCAGGGUGUUUCAGACACGUCUUGGAGGCGGGAGAGGGAAUAAGCAAGAUCUCGACGGUUUUAAAGGUACGGCCCCAAGGAGAACAAAAACAUGAAGGCAGUGGAUGCCGUGAUGUAGCGCCCAGGCUCCCGUUCAGGAAUGAAGACUCAUUCCUCCAGCAGCUGGAACGUGCCCUGGAGGAGGAGCUCCCGGAGGACCCCCCACCUAGGACAGCCACCUCGCUGUCUGGGGCAGCCCUCAGCCUACGACUGAUCUGCUUUGGAGACGGAAAGAGGCCCAGCCCCCUUGCCUCAGCUUGGAACCAUUCCAUGGAGGAGGCAUCUAAGCUCACCCUCUGCCCAACCCCACUUUCUUCUUUCUGCCACAAGUGGUGAUCCUGGGACCACUCCUCAUACACCUGCUCCAAGCUCAUCUCCAUCUUAGGGCCUGCUUCUUGGGUGACCCAACCCCUAACACUUGGUACCAGGAGUCUGAGAAAACAGGUGCUGAGAUGAGAUUCGGGAGCUCAGAAGGUGGGCACUGAGAGUGGAUACAUGAGGCUGGAAAACCCACCAACUAACUCUGUUCCUUGGGGCAGCCCGGAGGAGACACAAUUUAGCAAAGCAGCAAGGCAUGUGCGGUGAGAAGGCCACCUGCCUCACACAGAAGCUCCACAAUGGCUCUCUGAUACAAGCCGAGAAAUGCCACGCCCGAGCUGGGCACACGGAUAGCAAUGGAAAUAAUAGCACGUUCCCCCAACACCCAAAUAGAGACUGGGUGACAGCAUUUCACCAUCAGCGGCCCAGGAGCACCGGCUCCCCUUUACGAAGGCUGGCCCGGCUUUCGCCGCUGUAGACCACAAAGUGCUAUAGCAGUCAAAGCCAAGGUGGCAUUCCCAGUAAGGUGCCCUUCCUGAGGUGCCCAGCCAGGCUUCUGGUGGUGAGUUGACUGCACUGGGCUGACUCCACUCUAGAAGGUGAAGCAGUCUGCUUUGGCAGGAAUAAAUUCACAUCUCAGGUAUAGGUUUGCCUUUUU
RNAcentral lists this long non-coding RNA (1528 nucleotides) under Sus scrofa (pig). Its description in RNAcentral is "lncRNA (ENSSSCG00040034934.1)". The record is from RNAcentral. Lineage: Eukaryota; Metazoa; Chordata; Mammalia; Artiodactyla; Suidae.